This 903-nucleotide ribosomal RNA is filed under the name Leptosphaeria proteicola. RNAcentral's name for it is "eukaryotic LSU rRNA". It matches the Rfam family "Eukaryotic large subunit ribosomal RNA", at positions 43 to 964 of the family's 3401-position model. Lineage: Eukaryota; Fungi; Ascomycota; Dothideomycetes; Pleosporales; Leptosphaeriaceae. The record is from RNAcentral.
UCAAUAAGCGGAGGAAAAGAAACCAACAGGGAUUGCCCUAGUAACGGCGAGUGAAGCGGCAACAGCUCAAAUUUGAAAUCUGGCUCUUUCAGGGUCCGAGUUGUAAUUUGCAGAGGGCGCUUUGGCGUUGGCAGCGGUCCAAGUUCCUUGGAACAGGACGUCACAGAGGGUGAGAAUCCCGUACGUGGUCGCUGGCCUUCGCCGUGUAAAGCCCCUUCGACGAGUCGAGUUGUUUGGGAAUGCAGCUCUAAAUGGGAGGUAAAUUUCUUCUAAAGCUAAAUACUGGCCAGAGACCGAUAGCGCACAAGUAGAGUGAUCGAAAGAUGAAAAGCACUUUGGAAAGAGAGUCAAAUAGCACGUGAAAUUGUUGAAAGGGAAGCGCUUGCAGCCAGACUUGCCUGUAGUUGCUCAUCCGGGCUUUUGCCCGGUGCACUCUUCUAUAGGCAGGCCAGCAUCAGUUUGGGCGGUUGGAUAAAGGUCUCUAUCACGUACCUCUCUUCGGGGAGGCCUUAUAGGGGAGACGACAUGCAACCAGCCUGGACUGAGGUCCGCGCAUUUGCUAGGAUGCUGGCGUAAUGGCUGUAAGCGGCCCGUCUUGAAACACGGACCAAGGAGUCUAACAUCUAUGCGAGUGUUUGGGUGUCAAGCCCGAGCGCGCAAUGAAAGUGAACGGAGGUGGGACCCCUUUAGGGUGCACCAUCGACCGAUCCAGAAGUCUUCGGAUGGAUUUGAGUAAGAGCAUGGCUGUUGGGACCCGAAAGAUGGUGAACUAUGCUUGAAUAGGGUGAAGCCAGAGGAAACUCUGGUGGAGGCUCGCAGCGGUUCUGACGUGCAAAUCGAUCGUCAAAUUUGGGCAUAGGGGCGAAAGACUAAUCGAACUAUCUAGUAGCUGGUUCCUGCCGA